GGAGUAACCCAAACGAUCACUGAAUCAUCUCUUUGAUUCAGAGGAAAGUCCGAACACCGUAGGGCAGGGUGCUCCAUAACAUGGAGUCGUGGCAACGCGAAGGAAAGUGCAACAGAAAGUAUACCGCCCGGCACCAAACCGGAUCGUUUGGUGCCGGGUAAGGGUGAAAAGGUGCGGUAAGAGCGCACCAGUUCCUCGGGUGACCGGGGAAGCUUGGCAAACCCCACCUGGUGCAAGACCAAAUAGGGGAGCGCGUGAGAGUGGCCCGCUCAAGCUCCCGGGUAGGUCGCAUGAGAUGCCGGGCAAUCGGCAUUCUUAGAUGAAUGAUCGUUACCCGUUUUGGGGAGACCUGAAGCGGGCACAGAAUUCGGCUUAUGGGUUGCUCUGGCC
This 390-nucleotide RNase P RNA is filed under the name Desulfobacterales bacterium. RNAcentral's name for it is "RNase P RNA component class A". It matches the Rfam family "Bacterial RNase P class A". From Rfam's summary of the family: Ribonuclease P (RNase P) is a ubiquitous endoribonuclease, found in archaea, bacteria and eukarya as well as chloroplasts and mitochondria. Its best characterised activity is the generation of mature 5'-ends of tRNAs by cleaving the 5'-leader elements of precursor-tRNAs. Cellular RNase Ps are ribonucleoproteins. The record is from RNAcentral. Lineage: Bacteria; Pseudomonadati; Thermodesulfobacteriota; Desulfobacteria; Desulfobacterales.